Molecule: ribosomal RNA, 816 nt
Filed under: Triticum aestivum (bread wheat)
Lineage: Eukaryota; Viridiplantae; Streptophyta; Magnoliopsida; Poales; Poaceae
Description: partial small subunit ribosomal RNA
Source: RNAcentral
AUGUUAGCCAUGGUUCGUGAAUUCUAUGAGAACUUGUUCUCUUCAGAACAAUGUUCACUCAUGAAUGAAGUCCUGAAUGCAAUUCCAAGGAAAGUUGAUGAUGAAAUGAAUGAAGAGCUAACCCGGGAAUACACUAAUGAAGAAAUUAAAGAUGCUCUAUUCCAGAUGGGGGCUACAAAGGCACCAGGGCCAGAUGGAUUUCCAGCUAUCUUUUACCAAAGGCACUGGGACCUCUUGGAGCAGGAUUUAUGUUCUGCGGUGAGGGGUUUCUUGACAGGUUCUGAUAUUCCGGAUGGCUUCUGCGACUCCAUUAUAGUACUAAUACCCAAGGUGAACAAUCCUGAUUCCUUAUCAAAUUUCAGACCAAUUAGCUUAUGCAAUGUAAUCUAUAAAAUCGCUUCAAAGGUGCUCGCAAACCGUCUAAAACCACUUCUUUCAGAGAUUGUUUCUGAGCAACAAAGUGCCUUUGUCCCCGGGAGAUUCAUUACAGAUAAUGUGCUCAUUGCUUAUGAAUGUCUCCACUCCAUUAAGAAUCAAAAAACUAAAUUUCCUUUUUUUGCUCUUAAAAUAGACAUGGUAAAAGCCUAUGACAUGAUUGAAUGGGAAUAUUUAGAAGGGGUUCUUCUGAAGUUGGGGUUUGAGUCCUCUUGGGUUAACAUUGUUAUGAGAUGUGUCACCUAUGGGAAAUAUGCGGUUAAAGUUAAUGGUGAAUUAACUGAAUCCUUCAUCCCAACUAGAGGCAUUCGUCAGGGCGAUCCUAUUAGUCCAUAUUUGUUUUUGUUAUGUGCUGAAGGUUUAUCAUGUUUAAUGCAAUAG